Esox lucius (northern pike) is the source of this 2363-nucleotide long non-coding RNA. The record is from Ensembl. Lineage: Eukaryota; Metazoa; Chordata; Actinopteri; Esociformes; Esocidae.
AUUUACACCUACAUACAGUGUUUUUUGUUAUGAUGUCACACAUCAUAACAAAAUAACUGCAUGUAAAAGGAGUGAGGCAGGCUUUCUUCAUCCUUUGUCCCUCCUCCUUUCACGAGUUCUGUUUUAAAUAGAGAGCAAGCUUAGUUGGGAGAAGAGUAUCUACUUCUUGAACGCACCUGUGCCAUCCAUUAGUCAGACUGUGACAACCACUUGUUCAAGGAGAACAGCAACAUAUUUUUUUACUUCGUGUUCUUCUGAGAUCCAAAAUUACAGCAAUGGACAAUCGAAGCAGAGUUGUGUUCGCAGUCGUCAUGGUAAUGGCGUGCAUGGGAAUGAGAGCUGAGGCACAGAUCCCCACAACAGCUCCAAAUACAACAAAUACAACUCUUUCACUAAACAUCUCAAGGGCAAAUUGUGGAACCUCACAGUUCUGUGCUGCUCAGCCAGCAGGCUGUGACCCAUCUGUGUCUGGAUCCUGUUUCUUCGUCUCAACCAGUUUAAUCUCGGGACAGAACAUUUCCUUCCAGCUUCAAGGACAAUCCAGUGGCUACGUCGCUGUAGGGUUGUCCAGAACCAAUACAACGGGACAAAAUGACUCUGUCUAUGUGUGUGCUAACAUCAACAACAACGUUAAUUUCUCUUCCAAUCUUUACAACAACGGAACUCUGACUCCGAACAACACGCUGCCCUCUAACCUGGUGACUGGCUCAGUCAGUGGUCAGACCAUCCAGUGCAUGUUCUCUGCUACAGUCCCCGAUGCUACUUCCACCAAGAGCAGCAGUACCUCCUUUUUCAUUUCCAUCUACAACGGGACCGUGUCUAAUGGUGAAGUACACAAUCCAAAGAACAGAUCUAAGAUCAGCUUCCCCUCGUCCAAUCCUAACCUUAUCCAUUAGUUAUGGAAAUGCUCAAUUUAACCAACAUCAGCACCUAAGAGCUGCUUCAUGCCUCCAAACCCUCUGUGGACGAUGCAUCCCUUCUGUGUGUCUUUCUUGAACCCUCUAUUUCUCUCCUCCUUCAGGGGUGCUAGGUAGUCCUAAUGCUAUAUUUACAAGCACUGAAGCCGUGGACCUGUCCAAACCCAAUGCGAACAACAGCAACAGUUCUACAACAGCCUCACCAACCACCACAGCUAACCACGCUUUUUGUCUACAACGCACCCUGUCUCAAGCUCUGCUGAUCCUGCUUGGUGGACUAGUUUUCAUCAUGCUGUAAUGUGGAUCUCAGUAGUACACCACUUCACAUUCAGGAAUCCUGGACCUCUAUGGUUACUGAAGCCAACCAGGCUGGGUUCCCAAGAAUGAAACUCCUUCUGAGCAUGGGUAGUAAGACAUUAUCCAACAGAAUGAAUUCAGUAAUAUAAGAUUAAUGUUGUGUUUAUAGUCAAGGCCUUUUAAGGUACUUUUCAUCAUUAUUUAACCUCAUCAUCUUCGGCAUUACAACAUCAACAUCUCUUCAAUUCAGUGCCUGCAUAACAUAAAAAACUGUUGUGUUGAUGUUGUGUUGAGAACAUGAAUAUGAGGUAUAGACCUAAGACAUCCAACAAACAAGUUAUUUAUUUGAGCCCAGUCAUUUUCAUAUUCAUCGUAGCUGAUGUCAAGUUAUGUUGAAUGUCUUAGGUGUAUACCUAAGGAUGACAAGUAUGAAUUUGUGUGUGUGUAUGUGUGAAGUGUAACUAUUCGCUUACACAUUUGUGUCUAAUGAAGCCAAAAGUUGGCAGAAGCUGAUACUUGUGUGUGUAAUUCUGUUUGUGUGUCUGAUAAAGUACCAACAUUUUUUCUUUCUGAUUACCCUUUAAAAGUGUGAAAUGUUUUUCGUACAUUAAAAAUACAACAUUUAUUGACAAUACUAUGCAUUGUGUUUUUCAUACAUACACUUUUAUAUAAUUUAUAGACAGUAAAAUAAGUAAAAGACUGUUUAAAAUAAAAAUGAAUACAGUUAACAUACAAUAAGGGGAAUCAAGCAAUCAACCAGCAAAACCACAUAGAAUGUUCAAUUAAUUGAAACUGUUAAGGAUCUAUUUAUUACCCUAUUCUUAUUCUAUCCUUUAUUCUGCAAAUUAACUGUAAUAAAUGGACUAUUUUAGACUAGGCCUGAAAUUGCUUUAGAAUUUUCAUGGUUGCCACAUACAGAAGAAGACCUAGGUCAGCCUGCCCUGCUCUUAGAAGUGAUUAGGGCCACAACCAAGGCACCAGGCAUCAACCCUAUCUUUUGCACGACCCUGUUCAGUUGGAAGCCAUAAUAUGUGAUCAGAACAAUCUGUCAUGACGUUACUCUGCUGGUCUCUGUACUAAUUCUCUAUCAAUGUCAUGAUACUUUUUCCUGUGGAUCCAUGUAAUUAAACUUGAAAUAAUCAACUGUUA